GCAGUGGGGCUGGGGCUCAGUGGUAGAGCACUUGCCUAGCACGCAUGAGGCACUGGGUUCCAUCCUCAGCGCUGCA
Molecule: transfer RNA, 76 nt
Filed under: Marmota monax (woodchuck)
Lineage: Eukaryota; Metazoa; Chordata; Mammalia; Rodentia; Sciuridae
Description: tRNA.Ala
Rfam family: tRNA (bases 9-76)
About the family: Transfer RNA (tRNA) molecules are approximately 80 nucleotides in length. Their secondary structure includes four short double-helical elements and three loops (D, anti-codon, and T loops).
Source: RNAcentral